GACGAACGCUGGCGGCGCGCCUAACACAUGCAAGUCGAACGAGCGAGAGAGAGCUUGCUUUCUUGAGCGAGUGGCGAACGGGGGAGUAACGCGUGAGGAACCUGCCUCAAAGAGGGGGACAACAGUUGGAAACGACUGCUAAUACCGCAUAAGCCCACGACCCGGCAUCGGGUUGAGGGAAAAGGAGCAAUCCGCUUUGAGAUGGCCUCGCGUCCGAUUAGCUAGUUGGUGAGGUAACGGCCCACCAAGGCGACGAUCGGUAGCCGGACUGGGAGGUUGAACCGCCACAUUGGGACUGGGACACGGCCCAGACUCCUACGGGAGGCAGCAGUGGGGAAUAUUGCACAAUGGGGGAAGCCCUGAUGCAGCGACGCCGCGUGGAGGAAGAAGGUCUUCGGAUUGUAAACUCCUGUUGUUGGGGAAGAUAAUGACGGUACUCAACAAGGAAGUGACGGCUAACUACGUG
RNAcentral lists this ribosomal RNA (466 nucleotides) under uncultured bacterium. RNAcentral describes it as "partial 16S ribosomal RNA". It matches the Rfam family "Bacterial small subunit ribosomal RNA", at positions 28 to 507 of the family's 1533-position model. The record is from RNAcentral.